UACUCAUGCUCCCCAGCCAGGCACGGCACUGGAGAUGUCAGGAUCCUUGAAGGAUGUCUAACAAGGUGCUGAUUAUAGUGGUAACUUUUGUGAUAUGAAUAUUUAACUACUGGGAACUGGACCAAGACCACUUGUGUACUUCAUGCUGGCCACCAAACUUCCAUCAAAAGGUGUUUAAUUGAGAAAUUUGGAAACUCGUUGUAGAAAAUGACAGAGUUGCCAUGGAAGCAAGCCACCAGAGACAAAGAAAAAAAGCUGGCAUACGCCAUCUGCAGAGAAGCAUGGACCCUGCUCAGUUGUACUAGUCUGUACUGUGAUGAGUGUUGCAAACACCAUGUGCCCUAUCCUGUAGUAUUUCCUGCAAGAGGAACCACCGUGCUGAUAACGGCAAUGUCCUUCAAGUAGCCCUGCUGGAAGCCAUGGAAUGAAACAAUUCCUGGUUGCCGUUGGCAGUUGUGCAGCAGAUGAAUACAGUGGAGUGCUGGUUCUUGCCCCGAGAAACAAGCACUGAAUAGUGGGAUCAUAUCAUUAUGCAAGUAUGGGAUAAUGAGCAGUGGCUGCAGAACUUUUGUAUGCACAAAGCAACUUUCCAGGAACUGUUUGCGGAGCUCUACCCAGCCCUGCAGCACAGCAACACUACAAUGAGACCUGCUCUGAGAGUGGAGACGCGAGUGGCGAUUGCUGUGUGGAAGCUUGCAAUGCCAGACUGCUACCGAUCAGUGGGAAAUCAAUUUGGAGUUGGAAUGUACCUGUUGGACAAUCAAAGGAGUUACUCCAUUCCGAUGGACCCCAAAUCAGAA
Molecule: long non-coding RNA, 800 nt
Organism: Mauremys mutica (yellowpond turtle)
Lineage: Eukaryota; Metazoa; Chordata; Testudines; Geoemydidae
Exons: 5
Source: RefSeq, a predicted model, not a curated record